RNAcentral lists this transfer RNA (78 nucleotides) under Podarcis lilfordi (Lilford's wall lizard). Its description in RNAcentral is "tRNA.Ile". Lineage: Eukaryota; Metazoa; Chordata; Lepidosauria; Squamata; Lacertidae. The record is from RNAcentral.
GGCAUGAUAGCUCAGUCGGUUAGAGCGUGGUGUUGAUAAUGCCAAGGUUGCAGGUUUGAUCGCCGUAUGGGACAGCUA